RNAcentral lists this transfer RNA (76 nucleotides) under Rhizobium rosettiformans W3. RNAcentral's name for it is "tRNA-Val". It matches the Rfam family "tRNA". From Rfam's summary of the family: Transfer RNA (tRNA) molecules are approximately 80 nucleotides in length. Their secondary structure includes four short double-helical elements and three loops (D, anti-codon, and T loops). RNAcentral also lists the same sequence under 1 other name. Lineage: Bacteria; Pseudomonadati; Pseudomonadota; Alphaproteobacteria; Hyphomicrobiales; Rhizobiaceae. The record is from RNAcentral.
GCGUCCUUCGCCAAGUGGGAAGGCUGGGGUUUUACAUACCUCGAUUGACCUGGUUCGAUUCCAGGAGGACGCACCA